This 454-nucleotide ribosomal RNA is filed under the name uncultured Porphyromonas sp. RNAcentral describes it as "partial 16S ribosomal RNA". It matches the Rfam family "Bacterial small subunit ribosomal RNA", at positions 341 to 792 of the family's 1533-position model. The record is from RNAcentral. Lineage: Bacteria; Pseudomonadati; Bacteroidota; Bacteroidia; Bacteroidales; Porphyromonadaceae.
ACGGAAGGCAGCAGUGAGGAAUAUUGGUCAAUGGAGGCAACUCUGAACCAGCCAUCUCGCGUGAAGGAAUACGGCCCUAUGGGUCUUAAACUUCUUUUAUAGGGGGAUAAAGAGAGAUACGCGUAUCUUAUUGUAGGUACCCUAUGAAUAAGCAUCGGCUAACUCCGUGCCAGCAGCCGCGGUGAUACGGAGGAUGCGAGCGUUAUCCGGAUUUAUUAGGUUUAAAGGGUGCGCAGGCGGGACAUUAAGUCGGCGGUGAAAUACCGUGGCCCAACCACGGGGCUGCCGUCGAUACUGAUGACCUAGAGUGCGUGUGACGUAGGCGGAAUGUGACGUGUAGCGGUGAAAUGCUUAGAUAUGUCACAGAACACCGAUUGCGAAGGCAGCCUACGAAUGCGUAACUGACGCUCAUGCACGAAAGCGCGGGUAGCGAACAGGAUUAGAUACCCUGGUA